AUACGGAGGAUGCGAGCGUUAUCCGGAUUUAUUGGGUUUAAAGGGUGCGUAGGCGGGAUAAUAAGUCAGUGGUGAAAGCCUGUAGCUUAACUAUAGAAUUGCCAUUGAUACUGUUGUCCUUGAGUACAGUUGAGGUAGGCGGAAUGUGUAAUGUAGCGGUGAAAUGCUUAGAUAUUACACAGAACACCGAUUGCGAAGGCAGCUUACUAAGCUGGUACUGACGCUGAGGCACGAAAGCGUGGGGAGCAAACAGGAUUAGAUACCCUGGUAGUCCACGCCGUAAACGAUGAUCACUCGUUGUUGGCGAUAAACAGUCAGCGACUGAGCUAAAGCAUUAAGUGAUCCACCUGGGGAGUACGGCGGCAACGCUGAA
Molecule: ribosomal RNA, 373 nt
Filed under: uncultured bacterium
Lineage: Bacteria
Description: bacterial SSU rRNA
Rfam family: Bacterial small subunit ribosomal RNA
Source: RNAcentral